This 832-nucleotide long non-coding RNA is filed under the name Prunus dulcis (almond). RNAcentral's name for it is "sRNA ncRNA". Lineage: Eukaryota; Viridiplantae; Streptophyta; Magnoliopsida; Rosales; Rosaceae. The record is from RNAcentral.
AUGGCAUUUGUAAGGCUGAGAGAGCAACAGGUAAGCCCUCGCAUUCAUGACUGACCAAAAAAGAGUUCCCACUGGGAUUAACAAUUUCAUUAUGAAAUUUAGAGUCAUCAAGAACUUGCAGCUAGCUAGCCAUUUCUUCUUUGAUUGUUGUGUUCAAAAUUUGGAACAGAACCCGUGUUAAUAUUGUACUAUGUACCAGCUAUAAAUCAGUCAUUAUUGCAAGCUCUAAAGUCUUAAUCUAUAGCUAGGGCUUCAUAAAUCCCCAGCCCCAGGAGUCUCUUUCGUUCGAGAAAAACUUUUAUGUAAUAGGAAUGAUAUUUUUUGCUAUUCCUACCAAUAACGUAAUAACGUAAUAAUAUUUUCACGUGUUAUUGUGUUAUUUGUUAAGAAUAGCAAAAUAGUGCUAUUCAUAUAAUGAGAAUGAUACCUUUUGAUAUCCUUACAAAUAAUACAAUGACAUAUAAAAUAAUAUUUUCACAUAUCAUCAUAUUAUUAGUUAAAAAUAACAAAGUAGUGUUAUUUUCAUUGUAAAUAAGUUUUUAUGCUUUCUGUGUCUCACUUCAAUUUUCAAAGCCUCUCUCUCUUUCUCACUAUGGUCAGAGAAAAUCAGGGUUUUGCGAAGGUGUGUAGAGGUGCCCAUAUACGAAUCUUGGGUGGCCCCAAUGGUAUAUACAUCGAUCUGGAAGCUGGAAAAAAGUACUUGGUUUUUUUUCGCUUUGGGGGCAGAGAGUACGAUUGGUGGGCAGCGUGGAAACUGAAAGAUAUUGAAGCGAGAGAGAGAGAGAGAGAGAGAGGAAGUGGAUCAGAAAAAAAGAUCAGAUCUCGUGAUUAG